Aedes aegypti (yellow fever mosquito) is the source of this 501-nucleotide long non-coding RNA. RefSeq lists it as uncharacterized. The transcript has 2 exons. NCBI's taxonomy places the organism in Eukaryota, Metazoa, Arthropoda, Insecta, Diptera, Culicidae. The record is from RefSeq and is a predicted model, not a curated record.
AUUUUCAACCAGCAAAUUUGCGCAUGUGUUCGUGGCACCGCUCGGCGAGAGCUCAAGUAACAGCACCAUGUUCAACGGCUGCUCCUCGAAAAUUAAACAAGUUUUUGCUAGCUUCAGGGAGAGAAAAUUGUGAUAUACAGCGAUCUUUCUAAUGCUAAAGAAGCAGGAAACGGAGCUGAUUCGGAGAUUCAAGAGCAGAAACAAACUUCAACGUAUCCAUCGAGCUGGUUGUUGAAGCAUUUAAGGCUUGAUCGGGAUUAUUAACAUCAACUGCAAAAGAUGAACCAAACUAUUAGGCAUAACGGAUCAUCCACGAUAAGUUCCGUUUUUUCCAGCCAAAUCAGGAUCAGAAUGCUGUUCGCCAAGAAAUCAUUCAAUGACGGCAGCUCCUUGCACAUGCUAGUGAGUAAAGUACAGAGGAAACGAAACGAUGGCGUGCACUUUUCUUCAUAUAUUAUACAUUAAAUACAGCUGGGACAAAUAAACAUGUUUCUCCUUGUU